RNAcentral lists this ribosomal RNA (373 nucleotides) under uncultured bacterium. RNAcentral describes it as "bacterial SSU rRNA". It matches the Rfam family "Bacterial small subunit ribosomal RNA", at positions 441 to 793 of the family's 1533-position model. The record is from RNAcentral.
AGGAAGGUAGUGUAGUUAACACCUGCAUUAUUGUACGUUACCUACAGAAGAAGCACCGGCUAACUCCGUGCCAGCAGCCGCGGUAAUACGGGAGGGUGCGAGCGUUAAUCGGAAUUACGUGGGACGUAAAGCGCAUGCAGGCGGCCUGUUAAGUCAGAUGUAGAAACGGCCCGGGGACCUUUAACCGUACGGUAAUUGCUAUUUAGAAACGUGGCGAGGCUAGAGUCUUGUAGAGGGGGGUAGGAAUUUCAGGUGUAGCGGUGAAAUGCGUAGAGAUCUGAAGGAAUACCAGUGGCGAAGGCGGCCCCCUGGACAAAGACUGACGCUCAGAUGCGAAAGCGUGGGGAGCAAACAGGAUUAGAUACCCUGGUAG